AAACAAAAGGUAAAAGUUGGAAUCAUGACUUCUUUACCAUUUUAUCUACAGAAACUAUCAUAAUGUUUGGCACAACGUAUGUUCUAAGUAAAUUUGGAAAGAAUAAAAAAUUUUAAGCUCCUUUCAUGGCUCAGCAGUUAAUGAACCUGACUAGGACCCAUAAGGAUGCGGUUUCAAUCCCUGGCCUCGCUCAGUCAGUUAAGUAUCCAGCAUUGCCAUGAGCUGUGGUGUAGGUUGCAGAUGUGAAUCAGAUCCUGUGUUGAUGGGACUGUGCUGCUGAUUCAACCCCUAGCCUGGGAACUUCCAUAUGCUGCAGGUACAGCCCUAAAAAGCANAAAAAAAAAAAAAAAAAAACAUAUAUAUAUAUGUAUGUGUGUGUAUAUAUAUAAUAUGUAUGAAAGAUAGGAAACACUGCUACAGAAAAAAAUUAGAAUUCUAAAAUAUUGCAUUAUAUUGGUCCAAAUAAAAAAUAACUUUUAAAAUAACAUAUUGCAUAACCUACUUUUUAUGUAAAUGUGGAUUACUCCAUAGUUCCUUUUAAUCUCUAAUCUAAUUGGACCAAUAAUAGUUCUCUCUAAAAUUUCAUGAUGCAUAACUCUGCUGUUUUCUUUAAGAUCAUUCAUAUCUCUAAGUAGUUAAGGGAAGGGGAUUAUAAAAUGAAUCCACAAAUGGAAAAAGAUGUAAGAUUUCUGCUUUAAAUUUUUGCCAUGUUUUCUUCUUUUGAAAUAUGUAAUCUCAUGUUUUCUUCUUUUGAAAUUUGUAAUCUUACAUUACAAAUAUGUAAUCUUUGAAAUACGUAAUCUUUCUUUUCUAUAGCAAAGAAAACAGUAAUCUUUCUUUUCUAUAGCAAAGAAAACAGUAUUUUCUGUCACUAUUAGCAAACAAAAUGUUUGCAUGGGGUUUGAAUUUGUUUUGACAUUUUUUUGUGUAUAUUUGGUUAUUCUUAUUUUGAUUUUAAAUUACUAUCAUUCUCAUUUUCAAUAUAAGAUGUUCAAUAUCACAAUUUAUUUUGACAUUCUUUUUCAUAAGAUGUGACAAAACUGAG
Molecule: long non-coding RNA, 1045 nt
Filed under: Sus scrofa (pig)
Lineage: Eukaryota; Metazoa; Chordata; Mammalia; Artiodactyla; Suidae
Description: lncRNA (ENSSSCG00035031697.1)
Source: RNAcentral